GCCAGAGUGACGUAGUGGUUUGAGCGUUGGGUUAGGACACUAGGGGACCAGGGUUCGAAUCCUGGCUCGGCCA
Phrynosoma platyrhinos (Desert horned lizard) is the source of this 73-nucleotide non-coding RNA. Lineage: Eukaryota; Metazoa; Chordata; Lepidosauria; Squamata; Phrynosomatidae. The record is from the annotation of a GenBank genome assembly.